This 491-nucleotide ribosomal RNA is filed under the name uncultured bacterium. RNAcentral's name for it is "partial 16S ribosomal RNA". It matches the Rfam family "Bacterial small subunit ribosomal RNA", at positions 28 to 507 of the family's 1533-position model. The record is from RNAcentral.
GACGAACGCUGGCGGCGGGCUUAACACAUGCAAGUCGCGGGGCAAGGCCGGGGCGGCGGUCCUCGCGUGGCGGCGAGGGGCGUAAGGCGGGGGAGAGCUGCCCUACACUGCCGUUUAACACUGGGUAACCCGGCGUAAUACCGGAUAGGACCGCACGUUAUCGAGUGAGGGGGUCCGAUUUGUCGGAGUGGGAUGGGGGCGCAGCCAUGCGGAUGCGUGCGAUUGGCUUGGCGGCCGGGGGAGGGCACGCCGUGGCUGCGAUCGGUAGGGGUCCUGAGAGGAAGGUCCCCCACACUGGAACUGCGACACGGUCCAGACUCCUACGGGAGGCAGCAGUGAGGAAUAUUGGUCAAUGAGCGUAAGCCUGAACCAGCCAAGUAGCGUGCAGGAUGACGGCCCUAUGGGUUGUAAACUGCUUUUAUGCGGGGAUAAAGUGGCCCACGUGUGGGCUUUUGCAGGUACCGCAUGAAUAAGGACCGGCUAAUUCCGUG